GCCAGUGUAGCAUAGUGGUUUGAGUGUUGGAUUGUGAUUCUGGAGACUGGGAUUUGAUUCCCAGCUCAGCCA
Non-coding RNA from Phrynosoma platyrhinos (Desert horned lizard), 72 nucleotides. Lineage: Eukaryota; Metazoa; Chordata; Lepidosauria; Squamata; Phrynosomatidae. The record is from the annotation of a GenBank genome assembly.